AGCAGCAGCAGCUCUGUGUUCCCUGUGUUUUUAUUAACAUUAUUGUCCCUCAUCAGGCGGUGAGGGUGCUACAUGUAUGAAUGGAAGUCUAUGGGGAGAAAAGUGCAGUGUGCAGUGAGAGCUUGAGGCUUUCCGGAAACAUCCUUCAGUUUAGAGUCAGUUUGAGAAAGGGGCGUGUUUGGUGCAUCAACACUCAUCCAGCAGAAGCAUGUGGACAAGAGCAGAACUACUGCUAGACAUGAUUUGGUUGCUCAGUGGGGACGCCCUGAUCCCCCACACCUUCUCACUCACUGUUCAACUGUUAUGUUCCCUGUAUUUAUACUAAAAACUGCUAAAGUUACUAGUCUAACAGGGUCUUGAACCCUUUGGACCACAACACAACCUUGUCUUCAAUACCCAGCGGAGCCAACAUGGCCAACACGAGACCCAAUCUGAAGUGUAUUUAAGUACACUGGCGCUAAUUACAAUUCAUAAAGUGCAGUCUUUAAGCAUAAUCAAGCUUUCAAUGUUUCUGAUGCUUAAGUGACAACACAACUCACCUGUAAGUCUUCCUUGCUUAUAUAUAUAUUAUUUAAGUAUAAUGCUGCUGCAGAGCUCAUUUAGACUUUGUUUUCAUGCUGCUCUAUUGCUGAAUUGUCAGACUUUCAGAAAAUCAAACACAUUGCUUGUUGUUCCCUAACUUAUAAUCUCAUCAUCAUAUUUCCAGUCACACAAAAAAAGACAUCAAUCCAUGUGUCUUUAGGAGAAAUGCUGUUUAACAUUUAUAUACUAUUCUAGUUGACUUUAUAUCACUUAGACU
Molecule: non-coding RNA, 799 nt
Organism: Danio rerio (zebrafish)
Lineage: Eukaryota; Metazoa; Chordata; Actinopteri; Cypriniformes; Danionidae
Source: Ensembl